This 253-nucleotide ribosomal RNA is filed under the name uncultured bacterium. RNAcentral's name for it is "partial 16S ribosomal RNA". It matches the Rfam family "Bacterial small subunit ribosomal RNA", at positions 524 to 776 of the family's 1533-position model. The record is from RNAcentral.
UACGGGGGGGGCAAGCGUUGUUCGGAAUUACUGGGCGUAAAGGGCUCGUAGGCGGCCAACUAAGUCGGACGUGAAAUCCCUCGGCUUAACCGGGGAACUGCGUCUGAUACUGGAUGGCUUGAAUCCGGGAGAGGGAUGCGGAAUUCCAGGUGUAGCGGUGAAAUGCGUAGAUAUCUGGAGGAACACCGGUGGCGAAGGCGGCAUCCUGGACCGGCAUUGACGCUGAGGAGCGAAAGCCAGGGGAGCAAACGGG